This 410-nucleotide ribosomal RNA is filed under the name uncultured eukaryote. RNAcentral's name for it is "bacterial SSU rRNA". It matches the Rfam family "Eukaryotic small subunit ribosomal RNA", at positions 592 to 997 of the family's 1831-position model. The record is from RNAcentral.
CAAUAGCGUAUAUUAAAGUUGUUGCAGUUAAAAAGCUCGUAGUUGGAUUUCUGGUACAAUGCGCCUGGCCCGCGGCGGUUACGUCUGUGAGUGCCGGUGCGCGUUUGCCAUCCUUCUAGAAAACGUUUCUACCCUUCACUGGGCCGGACUCGCGAUCUAGAUCUUUUACUUUGAAAAAUUAGAGUGUUCAAAGCAGGCGUUUGCUUGAAUAUAUUAGCAUGGAAUAAUGGAAUAGGACGCUGGUUCUAUUUUGUUGGUUUUGUAGAACCAGAGUAAUGAUUAAUAGGGACAGUUGGGGGCGAUUCAUAUUUCAUUGUCAGAGGUGAAAUUCUUGGAUUUAUGAAAGAUGAACUUCUGCGAAAGCAUUUGCCAAGGAUGUUUUCUAUUAAUCAAGAACGAAAGUUAGGGGA